RNAcentral lists this ribosomal RNA (364 nucleotides) under uncultured bacterium. RNAcentral describes it as "bacterial SSU rRNA". It matches the Rfam family "Bacterial small subunit ribosomal RNA", at positions 9 to 372 of the family's 1533-position model. The record is from RNAcentral.
GAGUUUGUCCUGGCUCAGAUUGAACGCUGGCGGCAGGCCUAACACAUGCAAGUCCGAGCGGUAGAGAGAAGCUUGCUUCUCUUGAGAGCGGGCGGACGGGUGAGUAAUGCCUAGGAAUCUGCCCUGGUAGUGGGGGAUAACGCUCGGAAACGGACGCUAAUACCGCAUACGUCCUACGGGAGAAAGCAGGGGACCUUCGGGCCUUGCGCUAUCAGAUGAGCCUAGGUCGGAUUAGCUAGUUGGUGAGGUAAUGGACUCACCAAGGCGACGAUCCGUAACUGGUCUGAGAGGAUGAUCAGUCACACUGGAACUGAGACACGGUCCAGACUCCUACGGGAGGCAGCAGUGGGGAAUAUUGGACAAU